RNAcentral lists this microRNA precursor (67 nucleotides) under Mesocricetus auratus (golden hamster). RNAcentral describes it as "miRNA (ENSMAUG00000003488.1)". Lineage: Eukaryota; Metazoa; Chordata; Mammalia; Rodentia; Cricetidae. The record is from RNAcentral.
GGACAUAAGGUGUGUGUGUCUGUGUGGAGGAGAUGAGUUGCCCACACAUGGCACUCAACUCUGCAGG